UUGGUGGGGUAAAAGCCUACCAAGGUAACGAUGGGUAGCCGGACUGAGAGGUUGACCGGCCACAUUGGGACUGAGAACGGCCCAAACUCCACGGGAGGCAGCAGUAGGGAAUUUUCGGCAAUGGGGGGAACCCUGACCGAGCGAUGCCGCGUGAAUGACGAAGUUCUUCGGAAUGUAAAAUUCUUUUGUGUGGGAAGAAAAAGCAAUUAUUGACGGUACCACAAGAAUAAGCCCCGGCUAACUAUGUGCCAGCAGCCGCGGUAAUACAUAGGGGGCAAGCGUUAUCCGGAUUUACUGGGCGUAAAGGGUGCGUAGGUUGUUAUUUAAGUUUGUGGUAUAAGCACAAUGCUUAACGUUGUGAGGCUGGGAAAACUAGAUAGCUAGAGUAAGACAGAGGCAAGUGGAAUUCCAUGUGUAGCGGUAAAAUGCGUAAAUAUAUGGAGGAACACCAGUGGCGAAGGCGGCUUGCUGGGUCUUGACUGACGCUGAUGCACGAAAGCGUGGGGAGCAAACAGGAUUAGAUACCCUGGUAGUCCACGCCGUAAACGAUGAGUACUAAGUGUUGGCCAAAAAGGUCAGU
This 580-nucleotide ribosomal RNA is filed under the name uncultured bacterium. Its description in RNAcentral is "bacterial SSU rRNA". It matches the Rfam family "Bacterial small subunit ribosomal RNA", at positions 249 to 844 of the family's 1533-position model. The record is from RNAcentral.